CAUCCUUAAAAGUAAAGGCAUAGCCUCAAAAUGGCUCCAUAAUUCGGCUCUUUGCUCCAACAGCUCUUCGAGCGUCCAAUUUUUGAAGCGCCCCCCUGUGUGGCGUCUCAUUUGUGAGGUGUCCCGCCUAUGAGGCGCCCCGCCUGUGAGGCGUCUCGCUUAUGAGGCGUCCUUAAAUACAGCUCUUGGAGCGUUCUUAAUGGCUCUUUGAUUGUCCAAUUUAUGAAGCAUUCUCAAUUGCUCAUUGAGCGUCCAAUUCAUGAAGCAUCUUAAUACAGCUCUUAAAGCGUCAAGCUCAGCGAGCGUCCUUCAAA
This 314-nucleotide long non-coding RNA is filed under the name Daucus carota (carrot). RNAcentral's name for it is "long non-coding RNA (DCAR_LNC001487)". Lineage: Eukaryota; Viridiplantae; Streptophyta; Magnoliopsida; Apiales; Apiaceae. The record is from RNAcentral.